Molecule: ribosomal RNA, 525 nt
Filed under: uncultured bacterium
Lineage: Bacteria
Description: bacterial SSU rRNA
Rfam family: Bacterial small subunit ribosomal RNA
Source: RNAcentral
CGGGGGAUCGCAAGACCUCGCGCGAAUGGAGCGGCCGAUGUCAGAUUAGGUAGUUGGUGGGGUAAAGGCUCACCAAGCCGACGAUCUGUAGCUGGUCUGAGAGGACGACCAGCCACACUGGGACUGAGACACGGCCCAGACUCCUACGGGAGGCAGCAGUGGGGAAUUUUGGACAAUGGGCGCAAGCCUGAUCCAGCCAUUCCGCGUGCAGGAUGAAGGCCUUCGGGUUGUAAACUGCUUUUGUACGGAACGAAACGGUUCUCUCUAAUACAGGGGGCUAAUGACGGUACCGUAAGAAUAAGCACCGGCUAACUACGUGCCAGCAGCCGCGGUAAUACGUAGGGUGCAAGCGUUAAUCGGAAUUACUGGACGUAAAGCGUGCGCAGGCGGUUUUGUAAGACAGAGGUGAAAUCCCCGGGCUCAACCUGGGAACUGCCUUUGUGACUGCAAGGCUGGAGUGCGGCAGAGGGGGAUGGAAUUCCGCGUGUAGCAGUGAAAUGCGUAGAUAUGCGGAGGAACACCGAU